UCCCGUUUCUGUUCUGUUGGUUUUUGGAAAACGAGAUAAUGAUCGAGAGGGACAGACGGGGGCAUUCGUAUUGCGGCGCUAGAGGUGAAAUUCUUGGACCGUCGCAAGACGAACUACUGCGAAAGCAUUUGCCAAGAAUGUUUUCAUUGAUCAAGAACGAAAGUCAGAGGUUCGAAGGCGAUCAGAUACCGCCCUAGUUCUGACCAUAAACGAUGCCAACCAGCAAUCCGCCUGAGUUACUCAAAUGACUCGGCGGGCAGCUUCCGGGAAACCAAAGUAUUUGGGUUCCGGGGGAAGUAUGGUUGCAAAGCUGAAACUUAAAGGAAUUGACGGAAGGGCACCACCAGGAGUGGAGCCUGCGGCUUAAUUUGACUCAACACGGGAAAACUUACCCGGCCCGGACACNGGAAGGAUUGACAGAUUNAGAGCUCUUUCUUGAUUCGGUGGAUGGUGGUGCAUGGCCGUUCUUAGUUGGUGGAGCGAUUUGUCUGGUUAAUUCCGAUAACGAACGAGACUCCAGCCUA
Molecule: ribosomal RNA, 524 nt
Filed under: Ornithodoros tholozani
Lineage: Eukaryota; Metazoa; Arthropoda; Arachnida; Ixodida; Argasidae
Description: SSU rRNA
Rfam family: Eukaryotic small subunit ribosomal RNA
Source: RNAcentral